UGAUGAUAGUGAGGGCAAUUUAUGAGCAUAUCCUUAAAUCUCUCCCAAGCUUGGAAGAGAUUCUCUCCCUCUUUUUGUCUGAAACUCAAGAUCUCACUCCUCAAGCG
Molecule: non-coding RNA, 107 nt
Organism: Capsicum annuum
Lineage: Eukaryota; Viridiplantae; Streptophyta; Magnoliopsida; Solanales; Solanaceae
Source: Rfam